CGGGCGGAGCCGGUGGGGCCUCUCGGGUCCCGUCUCCUCUCCCAGCAACUUCGUGUGCCUCAGUUUCUCUGGGGUGCAACGGCGGUAGUCACGCCGCCCAAAGUUUUCCACUUCUUGGUCCCCGGUUUCGGCGUUCGUCUCUUUUCUUUACCCUCUCUUGUUUUCUCUAACCUGUUUUUGAGACAGGGUCUCGCGGUGUAGCUCAGGCUGGCCCGGACUUACCAGUCUGGUAGCCAAAGCUGGCGUAGAAUUCACCGGGAUCCGUCUGAGCGCCAUACCUCCCCGACCUUUUUAGUUUGCGUUCUCUGGAGAGGCCAGUUUCGGCCUCAUGGCUGCCAGAGAAUUUUCCUUGGUGCAGAGCUUCCACCUUGACCCGCAAACACGGGAACGAAGCAUGCAGGGCCUGCUCCAGCGAUCACCCGCUUUGAGAGUCAGACUCGCGCGGAUUCAGAUUUUACCUUCAGCCUCUUUGUGACCUCUGAGCAAGUUACUCCCUUCUGCAGUAUUCCCGACAGCAGAAUGGGACAAGAGCUCAUCUUUCUUAAUUUUGAAAAAAGUUUUAUGUUUGCCUGUGUGUGUGUCGGCUUGCCAAUGUGGGCUUUCUCCUUCUACCAUGGAUUUGAGGAUUGAGCUCAGGUCGUCAAGCUUUCUUUUCUACCUACUGGCUUCAACCUGCUUUAGCCCUUAGGUUCUGGAUUUGGGGAUCUUCUGUGGGGCCACACAGCCCUGGGUUCAAAUCCCAGCUCUGCCACUCGCAGACUGGCUCAAACUGACUUGAGGGCGCCAGUUGAGUUUGCCACUUCGUUGCCUGCAGCAGCCUUCCCGUCCUCGGAGCUUUCCAUGGUCCUGAAGCCAGCCGGGCGUCUUUUUAUCAGCUGUUCACAAAGCUCCCAAACAACUUCCUUUUCCUUGGGCGCACAUACCCUCUCUUCCUCCUGCUCCUCCCGCCUUCCGCACCAUUUCCUCUCUUCUCUAAGGUGAUUGGUGAACUGGGAGCAUCCCUUCCCGCUGGAGAGGGGGCCCUCCCCCAGGGUGUAAUUAGCACGGUGGACUUCAAUCUCACUAGAAGAAACUCAAGCCUUUGUCUGGAGUGGUAAAAUCUACUGUUUGACUACAGGCCAAGACACAAAGAAAAUGAAUCAGGCAGGACAAGCUCCCCUUUCCCUGAUGGGGACAGCAGCUGCCUCCUGCCCGGCCGCCAUUCUUCCGCAUCUCCCGCUCCUGGGAAGGCAAAGAGAAAUGCUAACAAACGCCCCACUGAGUGAUGUGCUGUUGGCUGGGAGUUUUCAAUUUGGCUGUAUUGAUUUAUAAGGCCUUUUCAAUUACUGAAUUCUUGUAGGUGGCAGAGCGGAGGGCCGCAGACAGGAGCACCACGCUCUAUUGAUCCCAGGUACUUCCGCAGGGGCAGCUGCAUGCCAGCUGGAGACCGAUGAGGCUUCCCACGCAACGCUUAUUAAACGGGAAUCUAGAAUUCAUUAACAUGGGAACUUGUCUGGAGAAUAUGGAGGAGGCUUGGAGGAGAACCCGGAGCGGCGGCACUUACUGGUGGCUUAAUAUAUGAAGUGAAUUGCAUUCUGGGGAAGGCCAGUUGGAAUCUUAUGAAAUUUCCUUUUCUCCUUUUAUUGUGCGGCGUGCUUGCGUGGCUUGUGGGGAAGCAUCCAUCAAAACUCAGGUGCACAGGGAGAUAGGGACUAGCAAAAGAGGGCGGAUGAGGUUAUCAGCCGGUACCGAACCUCUGACCCAAAGCACGGGCUCAACAUAAAUGAGAAGCCAUCGGCCAGCGAGGUGCUAGCAAUGGUCGUGAGAGAGCCAGGAGACUAGCAAUGGUCGUGAGAGAGCCAGCAGAGCUGUUUCUUCGCCCAGCCAGGGCUGUUCCCAGCUUAGAGAUUCAUGCCUAACCUCUCAAGUGCUUCCUGGGAGCGGCCUGUGUGUCAGGGACUGGAUUAAAGUCUCAGGGUCCUAGGACCGUCCUAACAAAUCUCUGCCACGUGAGCAAGGGGGACCAGAUUUUUCCCCAUGUAGCUCUGGAGGCCUGAAGUCCAGGAUAAAAGCAUCUUAUAGGAGCGGCACUGGGCACACAAGGACCCACCCAGCUCUGUUCAGCCUCUGCCAGCCCCUGGCUCUCCUUGGCACUCCUUGGGAGCACAUGCCUACUCUGCUUGCUGCCACGUGGCUGAUGUCCCUAGAUCUUUCCGUAUACAGAUGCCUGCCACCGAGGUUGGGACCACCUGCCCAGGAGUGUCACCACCCACAGUGGACCGGCCCCUCCCCCCAUGAUCAUCACUCAAGAAAACGUCCCACAGACUUGCCUCCAGGCCAAUCGGACAAAGGUGUUUUCUCCAUCGAAGUUCCUCUUCCCAGGUGACUCCAGCUGGUGUUAAGUCAAAAACCUGACGUUGACACCUUACCCUUCAAGUCAGCUUCGGAUCUUCCCCCUGACAGAUUCCACCUGAUCACCUCACCGCAGCUGCCUGGCUGCUAUGGCGACUGCGUGGCGGACACAGCUCACGGCUGCUGUCCGGCCCUGCCAGCGAGGAAGGCAGCGCGUGUCACCCACCACCCCAGGAAAAAGAUCAAAACUCAAAAGUGCAAGCUCAGGCUCUACCGGAUGUGUGGAUGUGUGCCGCUUUCACACCCCACCCCACCCCCCAAAUUAAGAAGUGCCAGCAAAUCGUUGUUGUCAACGGCAAACUUGAAAUGAUUUCUGUUACUUAUUAAACAAGAGUUCAGUAUGUGGCAGGAAAAAAAUUAACAACCCCCCAAAGAGUAGCCUAAACUAUCAAGGCCUUUAUUUGUUCACCAAGGUGCCUGGUAAGAGAUUACUCUAGAAGGUAGGAGUGUAACGGGUGUGUCCUAUCUCUUUGUCUUGCUGUCUUAGGAUGUAGGCAGUGACUCCCCUCAUGGUAACAAGAUGGUGGCUGCUGCUCCAACACUCUCAACCCUCGAAAGUCAGUGCUUGUUACCAGGAAGGGCAGGUGAGAGUCGGGCAGCCCUUUCUCUGCGUGUGCCUCUCUCACUGGUUCAGAUCCGAGUAAUACAUAGUGUGGCGUGAUGGCUUUAGACAGCUCUCUGUGCGUGUUUCUCUCUCUCCUUCUCUCUUUGUGCCUUCGCUCAUGUGGAGGCCAGAGGUCAGCGCUACUGUCUCUUGCCCUUCUUCUGGCCCCCAGGUUGAUUCACCCUGCUGCUGCUGCUGUUGUUAUUGAUGACGAUGACGAUGAUGAUUCCUUGGCUGACAUCACAAUCUGAAUGCCCAGGCUCCUGUUGUGCACUGAAGGCUGAUUGAGAACUCCUGGAAGCUGUGCCUGCAGAGACCGAGUCACUGCUCAGAACUGUGGUACUGUGCAGAGGUUGGAAUGUUGCAGGCCCAGGGGCUAAUCACCUUACCUUGGGCAACUUCCAGCCUCUGGAACAGCCAUUCCUUGCCCUCUUCCGUGUCAGAGCUACCAUCUGGUCACUUGGAAUCUAUUAGCUUCGUAGAGAGCUAGAGCUUCCGUUAACCCCAAAGCUAAGAAUGCCAUCAGAUAGCAUCUUGGGCCCAUAGAAAAGCUCCCCCGUCUUGCUGUACCCACCUCUCUGAUGUACCUACCAAUGUCUUUUAAACUUGCCUUGGUUUAGGACUUUCUUUGUUCUGUAAAACUACAAAAACUUCAUGGAAUUGCUUGCAUGUUAGAAUUUGGGGCAUCCCAAAUCUGUGUUUCCAGGCCAUGGUCACUCAA
Meriones unguiculatus (Mongolian gerbil) is the source of this 3716-nucleotide long non-coding RNA. RefSeq lists it as uncharacterized. Lineage: Eukaryota; Metazoa; Chordata; Mammalia; Rodentia; Muridae. The record is from RefSeq and is a predicted model, not a curated record. The transcript is spliced from 4 exons.